GUAAUGUCUGGGAAACUGCCUGAUGAGGGGGAUAACUGCUGGAAACGGUAGCUAAUACCGCAUAACGUCGCAAGACCAAAGAGGGGGACCUUCGGGCCUCUUGCCAUCGGAUGUGCCCAGAUGGGAUUAGCUAGUAGGUGGGGUAACGGCUCACCUAGGCGACGAUCCCUAGCUGGUCUGAGAGGAUGACCAGCCACACUGGAACUGAGACACGGUCCAG
This 220-nucleotide ribosomal RNA is filed under the name uncultured bacterium. RNAcentral's name for it is "partial 16S ribosomal RNA". It matches the Rfam family "Bacterial small subunit ribosomal RNA", at positions 110 to 334 of the family's 1533-position model. The record is from RNAcentral.